GAUGAACGCUAGCGGCAGGCCUAACACAUGCAAGUCGAGGGGUAGAGUUCUUCGGGACUUGAGACCGGCGCACGGGUGCGUAACGCGUAUGCAAUCUACCUUAUACAGGGGAAUAGCCCCAGAGAAAUUUGGAUUAAUGCCCCAUAGUGUUAUCGAAUCGCAUGGUUUGAUAACUAAAGUUCCAACGGUAUAAGAUGAGCAUGCGUCCCAUUAGUUAGUUGGUAAGGUAACGGCUUACCAAGACAAUGAUGGGUAGGGGUCCUGAGAGGGAGAUCCCCCCACACUGGUACUGAGACACGGACCAGACUCCUACGGGAGGCAGCAGUGAGGAAUAUUGGUCAAUGGGGCGCAAGCCUGAACCAGCCAUGCCGCGUGCAGGAAGACGGUCCUAUGGAUUGUAAACUGCUUUUUAUACAGGAAGAAACCCUCCCACGUGUGGGAGCUUGACGGUACUGUAGGAAUAAGGAUCGGCUAACUCCG
RNAcentral lists this ribosomal RNA (480 nucleotides) under uncultured bacterium. RNAcentral's name for it is "bacterial SSU rRNA". It matches the Rfam family "Bacterial small subunit ribosomal RNA", at positions 28 to 505 of the family's 1533-position model. The record is from RNAcentral.